CCUACGGGCGGCAGCAGUGGGGAAUAUUGGGCAAUGGGCGCAAGCCUGACCCAGCCACGCCGCGUGAAGGAAGAAGGCUCUCGGGGUGUAAACUUCUUUUAAGGGGGAAGAGGAGAAGACGGUACCCAUUGAAUAGGCCACGGCUAACUACGUGCCAGCAGCCGCGGUAAUACGUAGGUUGCAGGCGUUAUCCGGAUUUACAGGGUGUACAGGACGUGCAGCGGGGAUGGCAAGUCAGAUGUGAAAUGCUGCGGCUCAACCGAGGAACUGCAUUUGAAACUGUUUUUCUUGAGUACCGGAGAGGUGAUCGGAAUUCGUGGUGUAGCGGUGAAAUGCGUAGAUAUAAGGAAGAACACCAGUGGCGAAGGCGGAUGACUGGACGGCAACUGACGGUGAGGCGCGAAAGCGUGGGGAGCAAACAGGAUUAGAUACCCUAGUAGUC
RNAcentral lists this ribosomal RNA (442 nucleotides) under uncultured bacterium. RNAcentral's name for it is "partial 16S ribosomal RNA". It matches the Rfam family "Bacterial small subunit ribosomal RNA", at positions 338 to 795 of the family's 1533-position model. The record is from RNAcentral.